UACGGAGGGUGCGAGCGUUAUCCGGAAUUACUGGGUUUAAAGGGUGCGUAGGCGGCUUUGUAAGUCAGGAGUGAAAGUUUGCGGCUCAACCGUAAAAUUGCUUCUGAUACUGCAUGGCUAGAAUUAGGAUGAGGUCAGCGGAAUGUGGCAUGUAGCGGUGAAAUGCAUAGAUAUGCCAUAGAACACCAAGUGCGAAGGCAGCUGAGUAGACCUGGAUUGACGCUGAGGCACGAAAGCGUGGGGAGCGAACAGG
Molecule: ribosomal RNA, 253 nt
Filed under: uncultured bacterium
Lineage: Bacteria
Description: partial 16S ribosomal RNA
Rfam family: Bacterial small subunit ribosomal RNA
Source: RNAcentral